This 465-nucleotide ribosomal RNA is filed under the name uncultured bacterium. Its description in RNAcentral is "partial 16S ribosomal RNA". It matches the Rfam family "Bacterial small subunit ribosomal RNA", at positions 339 to 795 of the family's 1533-position model. The record is from RNAcentral.
CUACGGGAGGCAGCAGUGGGGAAUAUUGGACAAUGGGGGAAACCCUGAUCCAGCAAUGCCGCGUGUGUGAAGAAGGCCUGCGGGUUGUAAAGCACUUUCGGUUGGGAGGACUGCUUCUAGCACUAAUAUUGUUGGAAGUUGACGUUACCUUCAGAAGAAGCACCGGCUAACUCCGUGCCAGCAGCCGCGGUAAUACGGAGGGUGCAGGCGUUAAUCGGAAUUACUGGGCGUAAAGCGCGCGUAGGCGGCUAGAUCAGUCGGGUGUGAAAGCCCCGGGCUUAACCUGGGAACUGCAUCCAAUACUGUCUAGCUUGAGUACAGGAGAGGAGAGUGGAAUUCCACAUGUAGCGGUGAAAUGCGUAGAUAUGUGGAGGAACACCAAUGGCGAAGGCAGCUCUCUGGCCUGAUACUGACGCUGAGGUGCGAAAGCGUGGGGAGCAAACAGGAUUAGAUACCCGGGUAGUC